Cicer arietinum (chickpea) is the source of this 3439-nucleotide non-coding RNA. NCBI's taxonomy places the organism in Eukaryota, Viridiplantae, Streptophyta, Magnoliopsida, Fabales, Fabaceae. The record is from RefSeq and is a predicted model, not a curated record.
AAAAUACAAACACCAUCUAAGAUUGAUAAUACCAUAUCCGCAGAAAUUCCGGAUAAAGAUAUUGACCCUCUUACUUUUAGUGCAGUUGAACGAUUUAUGAUACAUGGACCAUGUGGUAUUUUAAAUAAAAAAUCUCCAUGUAUGGUUAAUGGAAAAUGUGGGAAGCACUAUCCAAAGAGAUUUCAUGAUAAAACAUCAAUAGAUGAAGAUGGGUUCCCUAUAUAUAUGCGACGAAAUGGUGGUCGAUAUAUCUUGAAGAAUGGUAGCCAACUUGAUAGUCGGUAUGUGGUCCCAUACAAUAGACAUCUUUUGAUAAAAUAUGAUGCCCAUAUUAAUGUUGAGCUUUGCAAUCGUUCUAGAUCAAUUAAAUAUCUUUUCAAAUAUAUCAACAAAGGUCCUGAUCAAGUUAGAGCAGUCAUCUCUAAUGUAGAAAACUGAUAACAGUUCAACAAGUUCAAUGCACUUUCGUGAUGAAAUUAAAGAGUAUCUUGAUUGUAGAUAUAUUUCUCCAUCAGAGGCUUCGUGGAGAAUUUUCAAGUUUAAUAUGUUUUUUAGAGAACCAGCAGUCGAACACCUUUCCUUUCACCUCCAUGGGCAACAAACAAUAUAUUUUCCAGAAUCUAUGCGUAUUUCUACCAUUUUAAAUAGAGAAGGAAUUGAAACCACGAUGUUCACAGAGUGGAUGAAAAUGAACUCUGUAGACAUGGAAGCUCGACAACUAACAUAUGCAGAACUUCCUACUAAAUAUGUUUGGAACAAGACUAGCAAAAAGUGGACCAGACGGAAAAAUGGAAGGUGUGUUGGAAGAAUAUAUUAUGUUCCUCCCACAAGUGGAGAAAAAUUGUAUUUACGAAUGCUCUUAAACAAAGUACGAGGCAGUCGAUCAUUCGAAUAUAUUAAAACUAUUAAUGGGUUUGUACAUCUAACUUAUAAGGACGCGUGUUAUGCACUUGGUUUACUAGAGGAUGAUAAAGAAUUUGAUGAUUGUAUUAAAGAAGCAGCGGCAUGGGGUACUGGAAUUCAACUACGCCAGCUGUUCUCAACAAUUUUACUGAAUUGUACUGUUAUUAAUCCAGGUUUGCUUUGGGAAUCUAAUUCGAAGUUACUUUCUGAAGAUAUUUUAUAAAGGCAACGCCGACUACUAAAUUUCCCCGACCUCCAUUUGUCAGAUGACCAAUUAAAAAUCUAUGCGCUUUCAGAGAUACAAAAACAUCUUAGAAAGGCCGGCAAGUCUUUGGAAGAUUACAAAGGAAUAGCCAUUCCCAAUAGCAAUGUAAUUGAGGAACUGAACAACCGUCUUAUUACGGAGGAGCUAAAUUAUGACAUGUUAAAAAUGCAUGAAGAAUACUCUCAGUUGCUACACGGUCUUAAUUCAGAUCAAAAGGCAAUUCAUGAUUUUGUGCUUCAAUCAAUUACUUGAACUUUGGAAAGUUAUUCUUUGUGUAUGGUUCUGGUGGAACGGGAAAAACUUACCUUUGGUGAACACUACUUGCAAAAUUAAGAUCGGAAGGUAAGAUUGCUCUAGUUGUUGCAACUUCUGGCAUUGCUGCUCUAUUACUACCGGGUGGCCGAACUGCACAUUCUAGAUUUCAAUUACCUUUGAAUCCAAAUGAGGCUUCAACAUGUUCAAUCAAUAAAGGCACACAUCUUGCUGAAUUAAUUAUGCAAACAUCUUUAAUUAUUUGGGAUGAGGCACCGAUGGCCAACAAAUAUUGCUUUGAGGCAGUAGAUCGAUCACUUCGUGAUAUUAUGAAAGGAAUCAAAGAAGACUACGGUUUGAAACCAUUUGGUGGAAUAACUAUUGUAUUGGGUGGUGACUUUCGUCAGAUUUUACCUGUAGUUCGAAAAGGUGAUAGGCAUGAUAUGAUCCAAGCUUGCAUAAAAAAUUCAUAUCUUUGGAAUUCAUGUGAGGUUCAUUUGCUACGUCAAAAUAUGCGUCUACAAUCAAAUGAGUUAGACUCAAUCUCAAAAGAUGCAAUGCAAAACUUCGCAGAUUGGAUACUUGACGUAUGUGAUGGAAAACAAUGCGCAGAUAUCGGAGAAUCAUGGAUAUCAAUAGAACAAAACUUGAUGCUCCCAAAAUCACAUGAUGAUUUUCAAUCUAUAGUUGACGCUAUUUAUCCAAAUUUAAAUAGCCACAUUGGGGACGCAGAUUACCUUGUGUCGCGGGCUAUCUUGACACCUACAAAUGAAAUAGUUGACGAUAUAAAUCAACGCAUUUUGAAUAAUUUCACAGGCGAAGAAAUGAUAUAUUUAUCAUCAGACUCAAUUUGUAAGGCAGAUUUCAAUAUUCAAGAUCAAGAUCUUCUUUACCCUACUGAGUUUUUGAAUACACUCAAAUUUUUGGGUUUGCCAUCACAUAUUUUAAGGCUUAAAAAAGGAGCAGUAGUUAUGUUAAUGAGAAAUUUGAAUCAAGGAGCUGGGCUAUGUAAUGGUACAAGAAUGAAAAUUACACAACUUGGAAAAUGGUUUGUGGAAGGAGAGGUGUUGAGUGGAUCUAUCAUUGGAGAUAAAGUUCUCAUUCCAAGAAUAUCUUUGUCGCCUUCAGAAUCCAAUUGGCCUUUUAUUCUUAAUCGAAGACAGUAUCCUAUAUCAUUAUGUUUUGCCAUGACAAUAAAUAAAAGUCAAGGACAAUCGUUGCAGCACGUUGGAUUAUAUUUGCCUAAACAAGUAUUUACUCAUGGACAAUUGUAUGUCGCCAUCUCGAGAGUAACCAAUCGAAAUGGAUUACAUAUUCUUAGUAACGGCGAUGAGAAGCCCAGUGAAAACAAGGUCUUAAAUAUUGUGUACAAAGAGAUUCUUUAGUUGUUUGUUUACAUGAUUGUGCAGAAUUCUAAGACAAAAUGGGAAUGUUAUGUACACUGCAAAAAACAGACUGCCCUUAAACGUCAACAUGGUGGAAUGCUUGCAGCCUACUUCAUUCUUGAGGUUUUCGCUAGGGAUGGGGUGUCGUUUUCGACAACUUGUGAAAAUCUUCUCCCUGGACCUUGGAUAAUUGAUGACCUUGAUACUUUAAAAUUAAAAUGGAGCAACAACUCCUGGAAGAAGGUUAUCAUAUUUGUUGAUAACUCUGGUGGAGAUAUUAUUUUGGGUAUUUUGCCGGUCUGGAAAUUGGAAUCUCAUUGCCAUAACAAAGUUAUUUCAUAAAAUCCUUAUAGCACUCAGCUUCACAAAAACUAUUAUUCUCAUUUCAAACUAAAUACUAGGAUCUGAUUGUUUAGCCGAUGCCUUGCAAUCAGAUGAUUUUGAUGUUUUCUCACGAACCAGUGGCAACUUUGCCACAGUAUCCUGUAACUAUGCACCCUUAAAUGAAAAUUUGUAAAAUGACAGGAGUAGAGCAAACUAAAAAUAUAGCUUUGUAUACAUGUUUAACAAAUAUAGUCUGUUGGUAAUACAUUCUUUCUUUCCACCAAUAAAUUUUUGUAUCACUUUCUUUUUU